UAAUCUAUUAUGAGCAGAUUCUUAUUUAGUUAUAGCAGACUCACGCUUACUACUUAGAAUCACUUAUCUUAUGCAAACAAUAACUUUUUGAAUUUUUAUUUGAAA
Populus trichocarpa (black cottonwood) is the source of this 105-nucleotide non-coding RNA. The record is from Rfam. NCBI's taxonomy places the organism in Eukaryota, Viridiplantae, Streptophyta, Magnoliopsida, Malpighiales, Salicaceae.